UGGGGAAUUUUGCACAAUGGGGGAAACCCUGAUGCAGCGACGCCGCGUGAUUUAGAAGGCCUUCGGGUUGUAAAAAUCUUUUCUAUGGGAAGAAAAUGACAGUACCAUAGGAAUAAGGACCGGCUAAUUACGUGCCAGCAGCCGCGGUAAUACGUAAGGUCCGAGCGUUAUCCGGAAUCAUUGGGCGUAAAGGGUACGUAGGCGGGUAAGCAAGUUAGAAGUGAAAUCCUAUAGCUCAACUAUAGUAAGCUUUUAAAACUGCUCAUCUUGAGGUAUGGAAGGGAAAGUGGAAUUCCUAGUGUAGCGGUGAAAUGCGCAGAUAUUAGGAGGAAUACCGGUGGCGAAGGCGACUUUCUGGCCAUAACCUGACGCUGAGGUACGAAAGCGUGGGUAGCAAACAGG
Molecule: ribosomal RNA, 402 nt
Filed under: bacterium
Lineage: Bacteria
Description: partial 16S ribosomal RNA
Rfam family: Bacterial small subunit ribosomal RNA
Source: RNAcentral